This 497-nucleotide ribosomal RNA is filed under the name uncultured bacterium. Its description in RNAcentral is "partial 16S ribosomal RNA". It matches the Rfam family "Bacterial small subunit ribosomal RNA", at positions 28 to 507 of the family's 1533-position model. The record is from RNAcentral.
GAUGAACGCUGGCGGCGUGCCUAAUACAUGCAAGUCGAGCGAACGGACGAGAAGCUUGCUUCUCUGAUGUUAGCGGCGGACGGGUGAGUAACACGUGGAUAACCUACCUAUAAGACUGGGAUAACUUCGGGAAACCGGAGCUAAUACCGGAUAAUAUUUUGAACCGCAUGGUUCAAAAGUAAAAGACGGUCUUGCUGUCACUUAUAGAUGGAUCCGCGCUGCAUUAGCUAGUUGGUAAGGUAACGGCUUACCAAGGCAACGAUGCAUAGCCGACCUGAGAGGGUGAUCGGCCACACUGGAACUGAGACACGGCCCAGACUCCUACGGGAGGCAGCAGUAGGGAAUCUUCCGCAAUGGGCGAAAGCCUGACGGAGCAACGCCGCGUGAGUGAUGAAGGUCUUCGGAUCGUAAAACUCUGUUAUUAGGGAAGAACAUAUGUGUAAGUAACUGUGCACAUCUUGACGGUACCUAAUCAGAAAGCCACGGCUAACUACGUG